This 1149-nucleotide unclassified non-coding RNA is filed under the name Centruroides sculpturatus (bark scorpion). RNAcentral describes it as "methyltransferase-like protein 6, transcript variant X1". Lineage: Eukaryota; Metazoa; Arthropoda; Arachnida; Scorpiones; Buthidae. The record is from RNAcentral.
AACGAGUUGGCAACGUGAUUCUUUCUCUUUAAUUUCUAUUUGAAACCAUGUGUGUUGUUUGUAUUCAUCGUGGUAUUUAAUUUGUUUUCCUUAAUGAAAAGUUUUAAUUUAUAAAGUUAUUGGAAAGUAAUUAUGAAUUUUGAAGUUUCGGAGGAUGAAAACCUGGUAAUUGGACAUUACGCGAAAACAUUAAAUCCGGAUGAAAUUGAAAAAUUAAAUAAGGACGUCACAAUUUCUAAAUUUCAUCAAAAUAAGUUGGAAAAUGAAGCCAAAAAGAAUUGGGAUUUAUUUUAUAAAAGAAACGAGGGACGAUUCUUUAAGGAUAGACAUUGGACUAAAAAUGAAUUCGAAGAAUUUACAAAAGAAUUCGAUUUUUCCAAGAUAUCUCCUACACCAACAAUGCUGGAAAUAGGAUGUGGAGUAGGAAAUUUCAUUUUUCCAUUAAUUGAAGAAAAAGUUCCUUAUUUUAUUUAUGCAUGUGAUUUUUCAUCAAGGGCGAUAGAAUUAGUAAAGAAGCAUCCUCUUUAUGAAGAUGAUGUGUGUCAUGCUUUUGUCUGUGAUAUAACUGAAGAUAAUUUAAAAGAUACUAUAACUGAAAACUCUGUAGAUAUAGUUUCAAUGAUUUUUGUAUUAUCAGCAAUUCAUCCAGAUAAGAUGCCUAAUGCAUUGAAAAAUAUAUAUCAGAUUUUAAAGCCUGGAGGAAUUGUGAUUUUCAGAGAUUACGGAUUAUAUGAUGCAGCUAUGUUCAGAUUUAAUCCUGCUCGCAAACUAGCGAAAUAUUUUUAUGUUCGACAAGAUGGUACACGAGCAUAUUAUUUUUCAGAAGGACCAACCAAAGAUUCUAGAGUAUGCUUCCAAUGACAAUGCAGGUAUACUGCUGUGACACAUCGUUGACACCUGCACCACCAUUCUCAAGAGACUGAAACCCUCAAAAGAGCAACAUUCAUGACAUCUUCAUAAGUGUAGGGUAUUUUGAACAUUUCCAAUGAAGGAAGCUACAUAAUUGAGAGUUAUAUAAGAAAUAUCUAGCAAAAUUGUUUGAAGCUGCAAAUUUUGAAGUAAUAUAUAACAAAUACGUAAAAAAGGAGACUGUAAAUAAAAAAGAAAAUAUUUCGUUGUCACGAAUUUUCAUACAAGGCAAAUUUCGCA